Molecule: long non-coding RNA, 809 nt
Organism: Cornus florida
Lineage: Eukaryota; Viridiplantae; Streptophyta; Magnoliopsida; Cornales; Cornaceae
Exons: 2
Source: RefSeq, a predicted model, not a curated record
CCACUGAUCUGCAAAGCCCAUUUUGUUCAUCAUACAACAUAAAAAGUUCCAUUCAACACGAUCAUAUGCUUUUGCCAUAUUAAGUUUUAGAGUUAGAAAAUUAAAUUUCAUUUUCUUAGUUUUAAGAGCAUGCAACAGCUCAUGAGGAAUGGCAAUAUUAUCGUAAAGUCUAAUAACCUAAAUUAUACAAAGUGGGGGCCUGAAAACGAUAAUUAAGUCAUAAAAAUUUUGAACUAGGAAUCGCAUCAAGCCUUGUUAAAAAAAGUUGUGUGACUAAUCACUCCAACCCCCAAAAUUUCCCCUAUUUCCCCACCGUGCGCCCAAUUCUCACACGAUUUUUAAACUUGAAUGCCAAUACUCAAUGGAGAGAGAGAGAGAGAGAGAGAGGACCUGCUACCGAUCGCACCGUCGCCGGCAGUUCAUCUGGACCAUAUCACUUUGUCACCGAUCAAAACAUUAUCGUCACCACGACAAUAAAAAUAAAGACCUUUCAAUAACCCUUAUGUUGGGUCUUCGAUCAACCGUUGGAGAUACUGAGUUUUUUUUGGUGCAAUUAUUUGUUUCUCCUUCUGGUGUCAUAUCUUGAGUCUGUAAUGAUAUAUAUAUUUUUUUAAUUGACAUUUUUUGUUUUUUAUUAGUGAUAUAUUAGAAAUAGAAGCUGUUAUUUUUGAAUUUUCAAAUACACUCGUUCUUUGACUGUCAGAAUUGUGAAUUUUUUUGUGUGUGAAAUUGACAGAGCUUUUCUUCUCACAUUGUGAUACAUUAGAAAUAGAAGCUUUUGCUUUCUAAAUGCUCAAGUAUACUAGUUA